AUCCAGCUGAAGAGUCCCAAAUAAGAUGAAAUGCGCCUCAAAUUGGAU
This is a non-coding RNA of Schistosoma rodhaini, 48 nucleotides long. NCBI's taxonomy places the organism in Eukaryota, Metazoa, Platyhelminthes, Trematoda, Strigeidida, Schistosomatidae. The record is from Rfam.